CCUACGGGAGGCAGCAGUGGGGAAUAUUGCGCAAUGGGCGAAAGCCUGACGCAGCGACGCCGCGUGAGGGAUGAAGGUCUUCGGAUCGUAAACCUCUGUCAGCAGGGAAGAACGGUCACUGUGCUAAUCAGCAGUGAAUUGACGGUACCUGCAAAGGAAGCACCGGCUAACUCCGUGCCAGCAGCCGCGGUAAUACGGAGGGUGCGAGCGUUAAUCGGAAUUACUGGGCGUAAAGCGCUCGUAGGCGGUAUGUCAAGUCUAGGGUGAAAUCCCCGGGCGCAACGCAGGAGCUUCCGUUGAAACUGGGGAACUGGAGUGUGGGAGGGGGAUGCGGAAGUCGUGGUGUAGCGGUGAAA
This 356-nucleotide ribosomal RNA is filed under the name uncultured bacterium. RNAcentral describes it as "partial 16S ribosomal RNA". It matches the Rfam family "Bacterial small subunit ribosomal RNA", at positions 338 to 686 of the family's 1533-position model. The record is from RNAcentral.